This 265-nucleotide unclassified non-coding RNA is filed under the name Hevea brasiliensis (rubber tree). Lineage: Eukaryota; Viridiplantae; Streptophyta; Magnoliopsida; Malpighiales; Euphorbiaceae. The record is from RNAcentral.
GUAAGACAACAAGCUAUAUAUAAGUUACAUAUAUGAUCAUAUAAGUAGUUGCUCAGUCAGUAAGCAUCCUCUGCUAUCCUCCUCCAGCUCCAGCUCCAACUCAAUACUAGUACGGUGGAGAUGGAUGAUGAUAAUGAUCAUAACUAUACGGUGGAGGAGAAGGACGAGGUGGUGGUGGUGGCCCUAGAGGUGGUGCAGGGGGCGGAGGUGGAGGAGCAUAAUCGUUGACAAGUACAACUACUGGAGGAGGAUAAGGCGGUGGUGG